Molecule: long non-coding RNA, 159 nt
Organism: Oncorhynchus keta (chum salmon)
Lineage: Eukaryota; Metazoa; Chordata; Actinopteri; Salmoniformes; Salmonidae
Exons: 3
Source: RefSeq, a predicted model, not a curated record
CAGACUCCAUAUUUCUGGACCAGUAGCCGCUGGCCUGCCUCAGAGCUGGACUAUGCAAUCUAUCUGGCUAAGAAGAACAUCAGGAAACAGGGGGAGCUGGUGGACUAUGAGAAGGAGAACUACAGCAUCCUGCACAAGAAGAUUAACCACACCUGGGAC